Molecule: long non-coding RNA, 1440 nt
Filed under: Brassica rapa (field mustard)
Lineage: Eukaryota; Viridiplantae; Streptophyta; Magnoliopsida; Brassicales; Brassicaceae
Description: long non-coding RNA (BRAP_LNC007932)
Source: RNAcentral
CGGAACUUCCCCCUUCAGCGUUAGACCUGCGGUUUCCUCUCCAGUAUACACUGUGUCUAGCGUCACAAGAGAUUAAAAGGAGAAGUUUCAGGGCAAGACAUUUCAAGGUUAGACUAUACAUCUUUAGUAUGUUGAAAUAAUUUGUGUCUAGGAAGAAAUGUGUUUAGAUUUUGAAUGAUGAGGAACUGAUGAGACGAGGUUCAUAUUUAUAAGUAGAGAAAACACUGUUCCACAUAUGAGUUAUGAAACUAUGAAACAGUUAAACAGUUAGAUGAGGACAAAAAGCUUUGGAACUCUCUUCCUCUUCAAGCAUGUUCUACUCAUUUGCUAUAUUUUAAUUUAAUUGGAAAAUGAGCAAAAAAGCUGAUGGGGGUUUACUUGCUUGAUCAGCUUUUUCUAUUGACCGCAUCGUCACACUUUACUUGCGAUUUGGCUUUGAUUUGUUCUUGAACAAUGCGUAUUACUCAGAGUUCUUUAAUAUCAUUUAGCUUUGAUUGUUCAUGAAUAAUGCAGUGUUACUUAGAAUUUGUUUGUGUCGAUCAUUACUAACAUCUUAAUGUUCCUCUAGCAUUAAUUAGAAGUUCCAUUGAAUGGCUAUGAGGUGUCUGUGCAGUACUUUAGUUGCUAGAAACAUCUGAUCAACUUUCGUUUAUACUUUAUAACAUAACACGGGUCUUUUCAGGUACUGAGCUGGUCUUGGUAAGCUCUUCGGUUAACACAAAAACCAAAAUCUAUUUAUCAGGCAAAGGAUUAUUAAAGAGUCAAGAAAAGUUGCCAUACAAUCACAGGCAUGUCACGUAGACCUCAUCAUAAGAUAAUCUUUUUUUUUUAUUUUGAAUUCCUUAAAUUAAGCAGCGUAAUUUAGGUUAAAUCUGUGGUGUUCAUUGAAUCUUCUCAAAUGCUAUAUAAAAUCUAUUUAUCAUUUUUUCUUCGAACUCAUGAACAUUCAAAGGUCCAUAUUAGUUGCACGAGAAUAGGAUGCUCAGCACGGUUUGAUUAUGGUAUAUUAGUAAGAUUCAAAGUUAUGUAUUGAACUCGUGAUGAAGAUACACUUUGCAUGCAGCCCCAGGUGGAAGGAAGAAUAUAGACUUGUAGAGUAUAGACUAGCACGUUGCUACAUGUAUGGAUCCCAUGCGUUGACUUUGACAAAACUUUGUUGAAUUAUUCUAUAUCUCUUGAUCUUGAAGAGCCUAUUGGUCCCCAAAUUCACUGAAAUGCUGUUACUAUUUUAUUAAUUGUACCUUGCUUUGGCUGUUGGAAGUGUGAUUAUAUAUAAGAAAUUAAAUUUCAAGUGAUUCCAUGUCGUGUAACUGAUUUCUUGUACACUUUUUUAUUAUCUUCGACUAUAUUAGGUGUGAGGUAGGUGGUGCAUGUUGCAGUUUCUAUACGAUUAGAGAUGUAUUUUUGUUGUUGGUUUAGUUAUUUUAUCAUUUUGAUAUA